AGUGAACGCUGGCGGUAGGCCUAACACAUGCAAGUCGAACGGCAGCACAGUAAGAGCUUGCUCUUACGGGUGGCGAGUGGCGGACGGGUGAGGAAUACAUCGGAAUCUACUUUUUCGUGGGGGAUAACGUAGGGAAACUUACGCUAAUACCGCAUACGACCUACGGGUGAAAGCAGGGGAUCUUCGGACCUUGCGCGAUUGAAUGAGCCGAUGUCGGAUUAGCUAGUUGGCGGGGUAAAGGCCCACCAAGGCGACGAUCCGUAGCUGGUCUGAGAGGAUGAUCGGCCACACUGGAACUUAGACACGGUCCAGACUCCUACGGGAGGCAGCAGUGGGGAAUAAUGGACAAUGGGCGCAAACCUGAUCCAGCCAUACCGCGUGGGUGAAGGAGGCCUUCGGGUUGGAAAGCCCUUUUGUUGGGAAAGAAAAGCAGCAGGUUAAUACCCCGCUGUUCUGACGGUACCCAAAGAAUAAGCAACGGCUAACUUCGUG
RNAcentral lists this ribosomal RNA (492 nucleotides) under uncultured bacterium. RNAcentral's name for it is "partial 16S ribosomal RNA". It matches the Rfam family "Bacterial small subunit ribosomal RNA", at positions 29 to 507 of the family's 1533-position model. The record is from RNAcentral.